RNAcentral lists this ribosomal RNA (581 nucleotides) under uncultured bacterium. RNAcentral's name for it is "bacterial SSU rRNA". It matches the Rfam family "Bacterial small subunit ribosomal RNA", at positions 102 to 679 of the family's 1533-position model. The record is from RNAcentral.
ACGGGUGAGUAAUGUCUGGGAAACUGCCUGAUGGAGGGGGAUAACUACUGGAAACGGUAGCUAAUACCGCAUAACGUCGCAAGACCAAAGAGGGGGACCUUCGGGCCUCUUGCCAUCAGAUGUGCCCAGAUGGGAUUAGCUAGUAGGUGGGGUAAUGGCUCACCUAGGCGACGAUCCCUAGCUGGUCUGAGAGGAUGACCAGCCACACUGGAACUGAGACACGGUCCAGACUCCUACGGGAGGCAGCAGUGGGGAAUAUUGCACAAUGGGCGCAAGCCUGAUGCAGCCAUGCCGCGUGUGUGAAGAAGGCCUUCGGGUUGUAAAGCACUUUCAGCGAGGAGGAAGGUGGUGAACUUAAUACGUUCAUCAAUUGACGUUACUCGCAGAAGAAGCACCGGCUAACUCCGUGCCAGCAGCCGCGGUAAUACGGAGGGUGCAAGCGUUAAUCGGAAUUACUGGGCGUAAAGCGCACGCAGGCGGUUUGUUAAGUCAGAUGUGAAAUCCCCGGGCUCAACCUGGGAACUGCAUUUGAAACUGGCAAGCUAGAGUCUCGUAGAGGGGGGUAGAAUUCCAGGUGUAGC